Molecule: non-coding RNA, 753 nt
Filed under: Eosembia sp. FS-2017
Lineage: Eukaryota; Metazoa; Arthropoda; Insecta; Embioptera; Oligotomidae
Source: RNAcentral
UUUAUUUUGGUUUCAAUUAAUUUUAAUUAAAUAAAAUUUUAUUUUGGUUUUAAAAUUAAUGAUUAAUUUGUGUUAGAUAAAAGAUCUGGGGGGGGCUAGUUUAAUUUUUAGUGGAUAUAUUUUUUGUUCAAUGGGGGUUGAAUAAAGGGGGGUAUAUUUUAGGGGUUAAAUAUGUGCCAGCAUCUGCGGUUAUACAUAAUCUUGGAAUUAAUUUUUUUUAUUUUAUAUAAGUUGGGUUAGUUAAAUUUAAUAGUAUUUAAGUUUGGGUGAAAUUAAUUUCAUAUUUAGGUUUUUUUUAAUAAUAUGUUUAUUUAUAUAGUGGGAACAGGAUUAGAUACCCUAUUACUUAAAUUUUUAGUUAAUUAGAUUAGAAAGUUAAAAAAUUUGGCAGUGUUUUAUUCUUUUUAGGGGAACUUGUAUCUUUAUUCGAUAGUCCUCGUUUUAACUUACUUUAUUUAUUUCUUGUAUAUCGUUGUUUAGAUGAUUAAUGAAUUAAUUGUUUUUAUUAAGAAAAAUUUAAUUUCAAAUCAAGGUGUAGUUUUUUGAAGGGUUUAUAUUAGUUACAAUAAAAAUUUUUAUAUGGAUUAUAAAUUUGAAGUUUUAUUAUGAAGGUGAAUUUAAUAGUAAAUUAAAGAUAAGUAAGUUUUUUUGAAUGAGCUCUAAGGUGUGUACAUAUUGCCCGUCAUUUUCAAAUUAAAAAUUUUUGGAACAAGUCGUAACAUAGUUGGUGUAUUGGAAAUUGUAUCUUGAUAA